UACUCCAUGAGUAUAGCAACCGUCGACAAGCUCGAACACAGCAGACGAAAUUGCAGCGAAAGAUGGCGGCGGCAAACGAAGCACGGGGUUCGUUCAUCGGACGCGCAUUGUUCUCGCGUUUACGGCAGUCGACCGCCAGGGAUUCCAGGACGGACCUGCGCGAACGAUAUCCGUCCGGCAGUGAUCUGAAGCGCAAAAAAAGGGGCAGAACACGGAAGAGUGACGCGCGAUCUCCUUGGGCUCUCCGUCGGAACACGGAAAACGGAGGAGACGCGUUCCUCUCGAAGCACAUACGUGCCCGGCUGCUGCAAUAAAUGCCCGGUAAUUGUUAAUUAACGGAAAUCGUCCGAUCGGAGCUGCCACCGUAAUACCACAGGUCUAUCUCCGAUAUUUGUUUGUUCGACAACGUAAAAACAUCGGACGAAAAACGCGACGAAAUACGACACGGGGAAACUGACACGGCGAGAAAUCAACUAUCUUCGUGAAACUUGAUACAUUAUUUCGAACGAGGAAACGGGCGGCUCACGAUCGACGAAAACUUUAUUGUUUUCGUCCGUUCACGGUUUUACGAUUCGGUUGGCAGCCAGCAGGAAACGAAGAAUAACAUUUUCAAGGUUACGUUUACGCUGCGAGAUGCAGCGCGACAGACGCACAGCGAAGGAGGACGAAUUACCAUUCUAGUCGGCAACGAAUCAUGUAUCGUUGUGUUCUAUUCGUAACGAAUUCGAUUAUUGUUGUGUACCUUGAGAUAACGUUUUCACAAUGAUAGGACACCACGCUAAUGGAAAGAUGAGGGCGAAGAAAAGCUUGCGAUUGGCUUCGGCAAUUCUAGCAACGAAUUUUGAUUUCGCGCGAAGAUCCGGUGUUUUAGCUGUAGCUACCAGGAAUGCGAACGAGAUGCGACGUGAAUGCGCGAACGAAGGACAGAAUGCAACGGCAGAAAAUCUCGAAUGUAAAUAGAAGAGGAAGAGCGCGCCGAUUGGAAGAGAGCAACGCCACAGGUGAGCCAUCGGCGAUCGAGAAUGGCAGCGCUCAAGGACCCCGAUUCGAAGGUCCCUGGCCCCGUCACCGGUCGUCUCCGAUCGAUGUCGAGGAUCGACGAUCGAAAGGAAACGGCAACGCGGAAAUCGAGGGGGAAAUCUGACCGUGACGGCCAUGGUACACAUCGCGCGUUUUCUGCGACUCACCGGCUGCCGCGCCGCCGCGGCGCGCAGUCGAACGAAGCACCUAUUUUCCUUGGACAUCCGUAUCGGCCCGAUUGUCGCAAUUUUGCACUAUUAAAUUUUUAAUAAAUGAUCGUAGCAUGAGAAACGUCCAGAAAAAAAA
Megalopta genalis is the source of this 1326-nucleotide non-coding RNA. NCBI's taxonomy places the organism in Eukaryota, Metazoa, Arthropoda, Insecta, Hymenoptera, Halictidae. The record is from RefSeq and is a predicted model, not a curated record.